Molecule: ribosomal RNA, 572 nt
Filed under: Chlorociboria aeruginascens
Lineage: Eukaryota; Fungi; Ascomycota; Leotiomycetes; Helotiales; Chlorociboriaceae
Description: partial 28S ribosomal RNA
Rfam family: Eukaryotic large subunit ribosomal RNA
Source: RNAcentral
AAACCAACAGGGAUUACCUCAGUAGCGGCGAGCGAAGCGGUAACAGCUCAAAUUUGAAAUCUGGCCCUCCCAGGGCCCGAGUUGUAAUUUGGAGAAGAUGCUUUGGGUGCGGCCCGGGUCUAAGUUCCUUGGAACAGGACGUCAGAGAGGGUGAGAAUCCCGUAUGUGACUGGGUGCCCGCGCCCGUGUAAAGCUCUUUCGACGAGUCGAGUUGUUUGGGAAUGCAGCUCAAAAUGGGUGGUAUAUUUCAUCUAAAGCUAAAUACGGGCCAGAGACCGAUAGCGCACAAGUAGAGUGAUCGAAAGAUGAAAAGCACUUUGGAAAGAGAGUUAAACAGUACGUGAAAUUGUUGAAAGGGAAGCGCUUGCACCCAGACUUGCGCCUGGCGGAUCAUCCGGUGUUCUCACCGGUGCACUCCGUCGCGCGCAGGCCAGCAUCAGUUGGGGUGGUUGGAUAAAGGCCAGGGGAAUGUGACUCCCCUCGGGGAGUGUUAUAGCCCUUGGUGCCAUGCAGCCUACCCCGACUGAGGACCGCGCUCCGGCUAGGAUGCUGGCGUAAUGGUUGCAAGCGAC